Molecule: long non-coding RNA, 596 nt
Filed under: Olea europaea subsp. europaea
Lineage: Eukaryota; Viridiplantae; Streptophyta; Magnoliopsida; Lamiales; Oleaceae
Source: RNAcentral
AGCUCUUGUUGAGGGUUAUCUAGAACUAAUGGGCAACCGAACUUUAAGGCAUUGGUUCAAAAUGAUCUUCUUGCGCUAAAUCCAAACCAUUUGAGGCCAUUUCACAAAUCGGUGGAGAUCCUUCUUCGGCGGCAACGCUCCACCAAUUUCAAAUUGCUCUGGGAGCUUCCCGAAUAAAGGAUUCACUAUCUUAUCUGCUUUCUUUUUAGCUACUCCCGUCAGCAAUUUUUGUGUUGUACUUUGGAGCCAUCGGACAUCAAAAUAAACUUAAAAAAACCAGAAAACAACGUUCAUAAUGAAAGCACGCUAAUUGAAAAGAAAAGAAGGCCAAAACCAUUAACCAAACCUUCAUCUCCUUCAUCUUCCCUGCUGGCUGCCUUCACAGUGUACACUCUAUCGAUGCUACUGCCUACCAGGGAAGGAAUUCAACGGUUCGAAAAGACCCAACACGGGCAAUCGAGCAAGCUCAUCGGGUGCUGGCUCCAUCCUUGGUGAGUGGUAGUGGUUGCUGGCGUGAUGGUAUGCUAGUUGGAGUAUAUAGGUGUAAAUGUUCAUUUUUAAUUUUGCUAAUCAUUUUUAAUUCUUUUCUCAUUUUU